AUGUCCUCCUCUAGCUCGGCCAUCUUCUCCGGCCUGAACAACAACACCUCCCAACCACUUUCCUGUACCAACUAUGUCCUAUGGCGCGCCCAGGCCAGAUCACAGAUCAUGGGCGCUGGCCUUUUUGGCUAUCUCGACCAAACUAUCAAAGAACCCUCUAAAACCAUCACCUCCAAAGGCGCCGAUGGGAAGGAUCAGGUUGUCCCAAAUCCUGCCUACUCCCCAUGGCUUAUUCAAGAUCAG
Molecule: ribosomal RNA, 243 nt
Filed under: Triticum aestivum (bread wheat)
Lineage: Eukaryota; Viridiplantae; Streptophyta; Magnoliopsida; Poales; Poaceae
Description: partial small subunit ribosomal RNA
Source: RNAcentral